CAGACUCACCAUGCGGGAGUGUGUCUGCUGGUGAGUGUUCUGCUUAGAUCUGGACUAGUAACACCUAAGAUCAUACAAAGCCUCCUCCCCUGGGUGAAUUCCCCAACAGAAAACCGCUGAGUCACCGGCACAGCUUUCCUUGUCCAGCUAAUGAGUGAUCCCAUGCUCAGG
Molecule: non-coding RNA, 171 nt
Organism: Chelonoidis abingdonii (Abingdon island giant tortoise)
Lineage: Eukaryota; Metazoa; Chordata; Testudines; Testudinidae
Source: RefSeq, a predicted model, not a curated record